GAUGAACGCUGGCGGCGUGCCUAAUACAUGCAAGUCGAGCGAAGCGGGGACGGGUGAGUAACACGUGGAUAACCUCCUAUAAGACUGGGAUAACUUAGGGAAACCGGAGCUAAACCGGAUACUUAUAGAUGGAUCCGCGCUGCAUUAGCUAGUUGGUAAGGUAACGGCUGACCAAGGCAACGAUGCAUAGCCGACCUGAGAGGGGAGUCAUCCUCACUGGAACUGCGACACGGGCCAGACUCCUCCAAGAAUCACCAUUAUAUAAUCUUCCGCAAUUGGCGAAAGCCUGACUGAGCAACGCCGCGUGAGUGAUGAACAUCUUCGGAUCUUAAAACUCUGUUAUUAGGGAAGCGGUACCUAAUCAGAAAGCCACGGCUAGCUACGUGCCAGCAGCCGCGGUAAUAC
Molecule: ribosomal RNA, 405 nt
Filed under: uncultured bacterium
Lineage: Bacteria
Description: partial 16S ribosomal RNA
Rfam family: Bacterial small subunit ribosomal RNA
Source: RNAcentral